AACAAACGCUGGCGGCGUGCCUAAUACAUGCAAGUCGAACGGGGAAAGUUUUCGGGUGAGUACUAGUGGCGCACGGGUGAGGAACGCGUGGAUAAUCUGCCUUAGAGUGGGGGAUAACUAGUCGAAAGAUUAGCUAAUACCGCAUAAGACCACGAGAGCUGCGGCUUUUGAGGUCAAAGGUUUUUCGCUCUAAGAUGAGUCCGCGUAAGAUUAGCUAGUUGGUGAGGUAACGGCUCACCAAGGCGACGAUCUUUAACUGGUCUGAGAGGAUGAUCAGUCACACUGGAACUGAGACACGGUCCAGACUCCUACGGGAGGCAGCAGUAGGGAAUAUUGCACAAUGGAGGAAACUCUGAUGCAGCGACGCCGCGUGAGUGAUGAAGGCCUUCGGGUCGUAAAGCUCUGUCGCAGGGGAAUAACACAAUGAAGGUACCCUGUAAGAAAGGAUCGGCUAACUUCGUG
Molecule: ribosomal RNA, 462 nt
Filed under: uncultured bacterium
Lineage: Bacteria
Description: partial 16S ribosomal RNA
Rfam family: Bacterial small subunit ribosomal RNA
Source: RNAcentral